GUAGGGGGCGAGCGUUGCUCGGAUUUACUGGGCGUAAAGAGCGCGUAGGCGGCCAGGUAAGUCCGGUGUGAAAUCCCUCGGCUCAACCGAGGACCCGCAUCGGAAACUACUUGGCUUGAGUCCAGGUGAGGAGGGUGGAAUUCCCGGUGUAGCGGUGAAAUGCGUAGAGAUCGGGAGGAACACCUGUGGCGAAGGCGGCCCUCUGGACUGGUACUGACGCUGAGGCGCGAAAGCUGGGGGAGCGAACGGGAUUAGAUACCCCGGGUAGUCCCAGCCGUAAACGAUGGGCACUAGGUGUGGGAGGUAUUGACCCCCUUCCGUGCCCGCAGCUAACGCAUUAAGUGCCCCGCCUGGGGAGUACGGCCGCAAGGUUG
This 374-nucleotide ribosomal RNA is filed under the name uncultured organism. Its description in RNAcentral is "partial 16S ribosomal RNA". It matches the Rfam family "Bacterial small subunit ribosomal RNA", at positions 527 to 896 of the family's 1533-position model. The record is from RNAcentral.